RNAcentral lists this long non-coding RNA (505 nucleotides) under Bos taurus (domestic cattle). RNAcentral describes it as "long non-coding RNA NONBTAT021497". Lineage: Eukaryota; Metazoa; Chordata; Mammalia; Artiodactyla; Bovidae. The record is from RNAcentral.
UAUUAUAUGCAGUGUGAUCCUAAUACCUCACCUAAAGUUACACUUCCUUCUAAAGAUCUGUAAAUCCAGCAACUAGUAAUAACAGCAUAGCAAGGGCCAGGACUCCACUGUCAUGCCUUAAAGAAAACUAUAAGCUGUUUGCUGCCAAAUUAGCUAAUAUAUACCCAUUUCACAAUGGAAAGAGCUUUGACAGGAAUAGAUGCAUAUUUGGGUAUGGAAUUCUUGUCCUGUCCAUAGGGUUCAUCCAGAACCAAUAUCCACAAACUGGAAUAGGACCUUACAUAACAUCAUGUCUGAUGCUCUCUAGCAUUCAGGUAAGGGAAUGGAGGAUUGACCAUGGGAUCCACUAGUUACAUAAAAACAGAAUCAACACACAGCUUCAAGUCAGACAGAGCAAUGGAAGGCUAAAGGUCCAUUGAAAGCACAGUUGGAGAUCCAUCUCAAGAGUUAAUACUACAACAUGAUGCCAUCUUCCAAGUUGUAAUGUAUCCUUUAAACCAAUAAC